AGGACGAACGCUGGCGGCGUGCCUAAAACAUGCAAAUCGAACGGGGGAGCAAUCCCCAGUGGCGAACGGCGGAGUAAUACAUGAACAACGUGCCCUGAAGACCGGGAUAGUCAGUGGAAACGCUGGGUAAUACCGGAUGUGGCCGUCUUGUGGCAUCACGAGACGAUUAAAUGGUUUUUCGCUUCAGGAGCGGUUCAUGGCCUAUCAGGUAGUUGGUGAGGUAACGGCUCACCAAGCCUACGACGGGUAGCGGGUCUGAGAGGACGAUCCGCUCGAGUGGGACUGAGACACGGCCCACACACCUACGGGUGGCAGCAGUUGGGAAUCUUGCACAAUGGGGGAAACCCUGAUGCAGCGACGCCGCGUGGAGGACGAAGGAUCUAGGUCUGUAAACUCCUUUUUUACACGGAAAGACUUAGGACGGUACCGUGAGAAUAAGCCCCGGCUAACUACGUGCCAGCAGCCGC
Molecule: ribosomal RNA, 467 nt
Filed under: uncultured soil bacterium
Lineage: Bacteria
Description: bacterial SSU rRNA
Rfam family: Bacterial small subunit ribosomal RNA
Source: RNAcentral